AGUGAACGCUGGCGGUAGGCCUAACACAUGCAAGUCGAACGGCAGCACAGUAAGAGCUUGCUCUUACGGGUGGCGAGUGGCGGACGGGUGAGGAAUACAUCGGAAUCUACUUUUUCGUGGGGGAUAACGUAGGGAAACUUACGCUAAUACCGCAUACGACCUACGGGUGAAAGCAGGGGAUCUUCGGACCUUGCGCGAUUGAAUGAGCCGAUGUCGGAUUAGCUAGUUGGCGGGGUAAAGGCCCACCAAGGCGACGAUCCGUAGCUGGUCUGAGAGGAUGAUCAGCCACACUGGAACUGAGACACGGUCCAGACUCCUACGGGAGGCAGCAGUGGGGAAUAUUGGACAAUGGGCGCAAGCCUGAUCCAGCCAGACCGCGUGGGUGAAGAAGGCCUUCGGUUUGUAAAGCCCUUUUGUUGGGAAAGAAAAGCAGCAGGUUAAUACCCCGCUGUUCUGACGGUACCCAAAGAAUAAGCACCGGCUAACUUCGUG
Molecule: ribosomal RNA, 492 nt
Filed under: uncultured bacterium
Lineage: Bacteria
Description: partial 16S ribosomal RNA
Rfam family: Bacterial small subunit ribosomal RNA
Source: RNAcentral